GACGAACGCUGGCGGCGUGCCUAAUACAUGCAAGUUGAGCGAUGAAGAUUGGUGCUUGCACCAAUUUGAAGAGCAGCGAACGGGUGAGUAACGCGUGGGGAAUCUGCCUUUGAGCGGGGGACAACAUUUGGAAACGAAUGCUAAUACCGCAUAAUAACUUUAAACAUAAGUUUUAAGUUUGAAAGAUGCAAUUGCAUCACUCAAAGAUGAUCCCGCGUUGUAUUAGCUAGUUGGUGGGGUAAAGGCUCACCAAGGCGAUGAUACAUAGCCGACCUGAGAGGGUGAUCGGCCACAUUGGGACUGAGACACGGCCCAAACUCCUACGGGAGGCAGCAGUAGGGAAUCUUCGGCAAUGGACGAAAGUCUGACCGAGCAACGCCGCGUGAGUGAAGAAGGUUUUCGGAUCGUAAAACUCUGUUGGUAGAGAAGAACGUUGGUGAGAGUGGAAAGCUCAUCAAGUGACGGUAACUACCCAGAAAGGGACGGCUAACUACGUG
RNAcentral lists this ribosomal RNA (497 nucleotides) under uncultured bacterium. Its description in RNAcentral is "partial 16S ribosomal RNA". It matches the Rfam family "Bacterial small subunit ribosomal RNA", at positions 28 to 507 of the family's 1533-position model. The record is from RNAcentral.